Molecule: ribosomal RNA, 371 nt
Filed under: uncultured bacterium
Lineage: Bacteria
Description: bacterial SSU rRNA
Rfam family: Bacterial small subunit ribosomal RNA
Source: RNAcentral
GUAGGGUGCGAGCGUUAAUCGGAAUUACUGGGCGUAAAGCGUGCGCAGGCGGUUAUGUAAGACAGGUGUGAAAUCCCCGGGCUUAACCUGGGAACUGCGCUCGUGACUGCAUAACUUGAGUGUGGCAGAGGGGGGUGGAAUUCCACGUGUAGCAGUGAAAUGCGUAGAGAUGUGGAGGAACACCGAUGGCGAAGGCAGCCCCCUGGGUCAACACUGACGCUCAUGCACGAAAGCGUGGGGAGCAAACAGGAUUAGAUACCCUGGUAGUCCACGCCCUAAACGAUGCGAACUAGGUGUUGGGGAAGGAGACUUUCUUAGUACCGCAGCUAACGCGUGAAGUUCGCCGCCUGGGGAGUACGGUCGCAAGAUUA